UACGGAGGGGGCGAGCGUUGUCCGAAGUUACUGGGCGUAAAGCGCGCGUAGGCGGGUUGGUAAGUCCGCUGUGAAAGCCCGGAGCUUAACUCCGGAGGGUCGGUGGAUACUGCCAGUCUUGAAGGUGCUAGGGGGAGAUGGAAUUACCGGUGUAGCGGUGAAAUGCGUAGAUAUCUGGAGGAACACCGGUGGCGAAGGCGGCAUCCUGGACCGGCAUUGACGCUGAGGCGCGAAAGCCAGGGGAGCAAAGCGGGAU
This 256-nucleotide ribosomal RNA is filed under the name uncultured bacterium. RNAcentral's name for it is "partial 16S ribosomal RNA". It matches the Rfam family "Bacterial small subunit ribosomal RNA", at positions 524 to 779 of the family's 1533-position model. The record is from RNAcentral.